This 465-nucleotide ribosomal RNA is filed under the name Vreelandella stevensii. RNAcentral's name for it is "partial 16S ribosomal RNA". It matches the Rfam family "Bacterial small subunit ribosomal RNA", at positions 338 to 795 of the family's 1533-position model. The record is from RNAcentral. Lineage: Bacteria; Pseudomonadati; Pseudomonadota; Gammaproteobacteria; Oceanospirillales; Halomonadaceae.
CCUACGGGCGGCAGCAGUGGGGAAUAUUGGACAAUGGGCGAAAGACUGAUCCAGCCAUGCCGCGUGUGUGAAGAAGGCCUUCGGGUUGUAAAGCACUUUCAGUGGGGAAGAAAGCCUUGGGGCUAAUACCCUCGAGGAAGGACAUCACCCACAGAAGAAGCACCGGCUAACUCCGUGCCAGCAGCCGCGGUAAUACGGAGGGUGCGAGCGUUAAUCGGAAUUACUGGGCGUAAAGCGCGCGUAGGCGGUCUGAUAAGCCGGUUGUGAAAGCCCCGGGCUCAACCUGGGAACGGCAUCCGGAACUGUCAGGCUAGAGUGCAGGAGAGGAAGGUAGAAUUCCCGGUGUAGCGGUGAAAUGCGUAGAGAUCGGGAGGAAUACCAGUGGCGAAGGCGGCCUUCUGGACUGACACUGACGCUGAGGUGCGAAAGCGUGGGUAGCAAACAGGAUUAGAUACCCGGGUAGUC